This 158-nucleotide ribosomal RNA is filed under the name uncultured Ascomycota. RNAcentral describes it as "5.8S ribosomal RNA". The stretch from base 86 to 158 matches the Rfam family "5.8S ribosomal RNA", at positions 1 to 73 of the family's 154-position model. The record is from RNAcentral. Lineage: Eukaryota; Fungi; Ascomycota.
GAGUUCGCUCGCCACCAGGACCACAAUAUAAACCUUUUUUAUGCAGUUGCAAUCAGCGUCAGUAUAACAAAUGUAAAUCAUUUACAACUUUCAACAACGGAUCUCUUGGUUCUGGCAUCGAUGAAGAACGCAGCGAAAUGCGAUACGUAGUGUGAAUU